This 74-nucleotide transfer RNA is filed under the name Podarcis lilfordi (Lilford's wall lizard). RNAcentral describes it as "tRNA.Ile". The stretch from base 9 to 66 matches the Rfam family "tRNA", at positions 9 to 63 of the family's 71-position model. From Rfam's summary of the family: Transfer RNA (tRNA) molecules are approximately 80 nucleotides in length. Lineage: Eukaryota; Metazoa; Chordata; Lepidosauria; Squamata; Lacertidae. The record is from RNAcentral.
GCCUGGACAGCUGAGUUGGUUAGAGCAUGGUGCUGAUAAUGCCAAGGUUGCAGGUUCAGUCCCUGUAUGGGAUG